ACACACACACACACACAGUUAAUGCAGACUUGACACACUAUCAUUGAAAGGAGUUUCAGUUCUAACACAUGUUUGUGAGAGAGUUUCCUGCAGCAUUGUUACUGUGGAGCCACGUGUAGGAGCUUAAAAUGAGUGCAGGUAGCUUACAUAGGACAGAUGCAUGUUGGGUAACUUGUCGUAUGCUGUUGUAGUUCUUCAGAGCGAUCUUGUCAUUAUUGAACGCCAGAAUGUUGACCAAUUAUUCGUUGUUAGCACUCGAAUCGAAACAGACUUUACAGGUAACGGGUAAAAGAAUGACCAAAGUCAUCACACAUCUAAAAUGAAGCUUAUUUGGCAUUUUGUGUCUCUAUCUCUUUCUAGAUUAACUUCCGAUGUAAGCCAACCUACAGAGAGGGAGGAUCCCGCUGCAUGCGAGAUCAGAACAUGCUGAGACAUCACUGGGUUCACAGAAGAAGACAGGAGGGGAAAUGUAGACAGUGUGGAAAGAGUUUUCAACAGAAGUUCUUCCACAGUAAAGAAAUAAUCGCCAUCAGUUGUUCCUGGUGUAAACAGGCAUUCCACAAUAAGGUGACGUGUUUCAUGCUGCACCAGAUUGAGGAGCCAUGUUCACUGGGGGCCCACGCUGGAGUCAUAGUACCACCCUCCUGGAUCAUCAAAGUCAGGAAACCACAGGUGCACACAC
This is a long non-coding RNA of Anarrhichthys ocellatus (wolf-eel), 682 nucleotides long. RefSeq lists it as uncharacterized. Lineage: Eukaryota; Metazoa; Chordata; Actinopteri; Perciformes; Anarhichadidae. The transcript has 4 exons. The record is from RefSeq and is a predicted model, not a curated record.